RNAcentral lists this transfer RNA (61 nucleotides) under Dehalococcoidia bacterium. RNAcentral's name for it is "tRNA-Val". It matches the Rfam family "tRNA", at positions 9 to 63 of the family's 71-position model. Rfam says of the family: Transfer RNA (tRNA) molecules are approximately 80 nucleotides in length. Lineage: Bacteria; Bacillati; Chloroflexota; Dehalococcoidia. The record is from RNAcentral.
AGCUCAGUGGUGAGAGUGCCUGUCUUACACACAGAAGGGCAGAGGUUCAAGUCCUCUACCA